GCAGUUCAUGUAUUAGAGGCACCGCCUGCCAGUGAUCCUUGUUUAACCCCCGCUAUUACCCUAACCGUGCGGGGUAGCAAACUCACUUGUUCCUUAAAAAGACCACCUGUAUGAAUGGCUCCACGAAGGUUCAGCUGUCUCUUACUUUUAACCAGAAAAAAUUGACCUGCCCGAAAAGAUGCGGUAAUCACACAACACGACAAAAGACCCACUAUGAAGA
Molecule: ribosomal RNA, 220 nt
Filed under: Eurylepis taeniolata (Alpine Punjab skink)
Lineage: Eukaryota; Metazoa; Chordata; Lepidosauria; Squamata; Scincidae
Description: partial 16S ribosomal RNA
Source: RNAcentral